CCCCAGUGGUGCAGUUCCUGUGGCCCAUUCUGAUCUUCCACUGUGGACUCAGUGCAGGGGGAUGGAGAAGCCAUGGGC
Ailuropoda melanoleuca (giant panda) is the source of this 78-nucleotide small nucleolar RNA. The record is from Ensembl. Lineage: Eukaryota; Metazoa; Chordata; Mammalia; Carnivora; Ursidae.